This is a long non-coding RNA of Mustela lutreola (European mink), 435 nucleotides long. RefSeq lists it as uncharacterized. The transcript is spliced from 2 exons. The record is from RefSeq and is a predicted model, not a curated record. NCBI's taxonomy places the organism in Eukaryota, Metazoa, Chordata, Mammalia, Carnivora, Mustelidae.
CUUGGCACCAUAUUGAGCCAUAUUGAGGAGGGACAGAUAACUAAACCAUAAUUGUCAUUUUGUGGUAAAUGCUGUGGAGAAAAAAAAUUCAGGGAUGUUGGAGGAAUAGAGUAUCUGAUAUAUAUGUGGGAAUGGAGAGAAAUAGAGUUUUAAAUGAAGAUAGUUAAAAAGGGCCUCACUUUGGCCGGGCGCGGUGGCGCGCGCCUGUAGUCCCAGCUACUCGGGAGGCUGAGGCAGGAGGAUCGCUUGAGCCCAGGAGUUCUGGGCUGUAGUGCGCUAUGCCGAUCGGGUGUCCGCACUAAGUUCGGCAUCAAUAUGGUGACCUCCCGGGAGCACCGGCCCAGGUCGGAAACGGAGCAGGUCAAAACUCCCGUGCUGAUCAGUAGUGGGAUCGCGCCUGUGAAUAGCCACUGCACUCCAGCCUGGGCAACAUAG